This 569-nucleotide long non-coding RNA is filed under the name Solanum tuberosum (potato). Its description in RNAcentral is "long non-coding RNA (STUB_LNC009555)". Lineage: Eukaryota; Viridiplantae; Streptophyta; Magnoliopsida; Solanales; Solanaceae. The record is from RNAcentral.
GGGUACACAGUUUGUUUCUUGUUCUUUUAAAACACUUAUGGACAGGAAAAUAUGUUUUAACACUGAAAUUUCCAGUGUUACCAUCAAUACUUCCAAGAAUAUGCCAAGGACAACCUUUUUUAUUACACUUUGCCCUUAUCCUUUCCUUCUCAUUAGGUUUCAACUUAAUAUUAACACCCUUCUGAAUAGAGUAAGUUUGCAGUGCCUCCCUGAACUCUAUGUGAUUCAAAAAUACCAUAUACAGUUGAAAUAAAACCUUUUUAGCAGUUGGAUCAAAGUAGAUCUUUGUACUUUCCUUCCUAGGUGCUGGAUCUACCACUUCAUCAUUCUCAACAGGAUCCCCUUCAUCUUCACUAAUGUCACUACCAGGAUCUGAGCUAUCAAAAUAAGGGUCAUCACCACCCAAAUUGCCUUCAAAUCUCCCCCUCUUCUCCUUAUAAAUGUCUUCAAAACCAGCAUCUAUACCUACAGGACCAGAUGGUAUCUCAUCUAGAUUUACUCUAGCAGUCUUUUCUUUAACUUGUUCUUGAAUAUUAGACUGCCUAGCUUGAAGCAACUCCUCAUCCAAA